CGUACGAGUCUUUGGCGAUGGAGUUUUGACUGAUGUUCCAGUAACGCCAGAAACGACCAGUUCGGAUGUUAUUGAGUGCUGUAGAGACCCAGGGGAUGAAUCUUGUGAAUUAGUUGCAACGUGUCCUAAUCAUGGAGAGCGUCUCUUGCAAGAAUCGGAACACCCUUUAGAAAUCCUUCAACGAUGGGGUUCGGGACGUCUCCUCCUGAGGUAUACGGUGCUGAGCAGCAACGAGUCGGAUGCGCCAAGUCGCAGUUCAAAUGGCACUCGGUUUCCUGCUAAUCAAACUGAACACGAACACAAUUA
Onthophagus taurus is the source of this 306-nucleotide non-coding RNA. The record is from RefSeq and is a predicted model, not a curated record. NCBI's taxonomy places the organism in Eukaryota, Metazoa, Arthropoda, Insecta, Coleoptera, Scarabaeidae.